AGGUCCCCCACACUGGAACUGAGACUCGGUCCAGACUCCUACGGGAGGCAGCAGUGAGGAAUAUUGGUCAAUGGUCGGGAGACUGACCCAGCCAGCCCGCGUGAAAGUCACGGCCAUAUAGGUAUUCAACAUCUUUUGUAAGGGAGCAAUAAGGAUCACGUGUGGUCUGAUGAGAGUACCUUACGAAUAAGCAUCGGCUAACUCCGUGCCAGCAGCCGCGGUAAUACGGGGGAUGCAAGCGUUAUCCGGAUUUAUUGGGUUUAAAGGGUGCGUAGGCGGUUUGUUAAGUCAGCGGUGAAAUUUAGGGGCUCAACCUCUACCGUGCCGUUGAUACUGGCAGGCUUGAAUGCGGAUGCCGUGGGAGGAAUGUGUGGUGUAGCGGUGAAAUGCAUAGAUAUCACACAGAACACCGAUUGCGAAGGCAUCUCACGAAUCCGCAAUUGACGCUGAUGCACGAAAGCGUGGGGAUCAAACAGGAUUAGAUACCCUGGUAGUCCACGCUGUAAACGAUUUAAGGAACCGUCGGCGAUACACAGUCGGUGGCCAAGCGAAAAGCGAUAAGUUAUCCCACUGGGGAGUAAGUCAGCAAGGUUGAAACUCAAAGGAAUAGACGGGGGGCCCGCACAAGGGGACGAACAUGUGGUUUAAAUUCGAAUGAUACGCGGGGAACCUUACCCGGGCUCGAACGGCGGCUGAAUCAUUCAGAGAUGGAUGAGUCUUCGGACAGUUGUCGAGGUGCUGCAUGGUUGUCGUCAGCUCUGUGCUGUGAAGUGUCGGCUUAAGUGCCAUAACGAGCGCACCCCUUGCCGUUAGUUGCCAUCAGGUUAUGAUGGGGACUCUAGCGGGACUGCCACCGCAAGGUGUGAGGAAGGGGGGGAUGACGUCAAAUCAGCACGGCCCUUACGUCCGGGGCGACACACGUGUUACAAUGGUGGGUACAGAGGGAAGCUACCUGGUGACAGGAUGCAGAUCUCGAAAACCCAUCCCAGUUCGGAUAGGAGUCUGCAACCCGACUCCACGAAGUUGGAUUCGCUAGUAAUCGCGCAUCAGCCAUGGCGCGGUGAAUACAAAGCCGGGCCUUGCACUCACCGCCCGUCAAG
This 1100-nucleotide ribosomal RNA is filed under the name uncultured bacterium. Its description in RNAcentral is "bacterial SSU rRNA". It matches the Rfam family "Bacterial small subunit ribosomal RNA", at positions 301 to 1401 of the family's 1533-position model. The record is from RNAcentral.